AAGUUCUGUGGAUGAAAGGGGCCACACGCUGACCUGACAAGCUCAGGGAAGGCCUGCGUGGCAGCCUAGCAGACUCAGAGACCUAAAAUAACCACAAAGGAUGGUCUGAAAUUAAACCUUAACUAAAAGCAGUUAUGGUGGGCAGUUAUGUCCUAAGCCAGUAUCUUCACUGACAAGAUCAACUUUGAUCCUUACUGAGCCCAUUUGCCUUUUUGCCUCUAAGAUAACAAUACCCUUGAAAUGUCUGGGUAACUUGUAACUUCCCUUUUUUCUGGAGCCCCUGGGGCACAACCAAAUGUUCUGGGCGCCAGGACAGAUACUACAAAUUCCUUCAUUAUCAUGUUAAUUGAUCCUGCACCCACCUAAGUAUAGGUUUCCCCUGCUUCGAUUAAUCCCACCUCCUUAAAUCUGUCACCAAUGAAUUUCAUGUAUAAAUACGGAUGUAACCCUGCCAUUCUCCGGAGCACUAUCUCAAUUCGUUGAGGUUCUGCUUCCCGGCAUAUGUCGACAGUUUGGCUCAAAUAAACUCACAAAAAUUCUU
Molecule: long non-coding RNA, 541 nt
Organism: Myotis daubentonii (Daubenton's bat)
Lineage: Eukaryota; Metazoa; Chordata; Mammalia; Chiroptera; Vespertilionidae
Source: RefSeq, a predicted model, not a curated record